Octopus sinensis (East Asian common octopus) is the source of this 123-nucleotide long non-coding RNA. RefSeq lists it as uncharacterized. Lineage: Eukaryota; Metazoa; Mollusca; Cephalopoda; Octopoda; Octopodidae. The record is from RefSeq and is a predicted model, not a curated record. The transcript has 3 exons.
UGUGUGUGUGUCAGGGCAGUGCCUACCUUGAAUAAAAUAGAUCGAUAGCAACAUUUUCAUUUCAUGGCAAAAUAUACACCUAAUUCAAUAAAAUUAUGAAGGUUACUCUAAUUACUAUGCAUA